UACGGGAGGCAGCAGGGGGGAAUAUUGCACAAUGGGCGCAAGCCUGAUGCAGCCAUGCCGCGUGUAUGAAAAAGGCCUUCGGGUUGUAAAGUACUUUCAGUCGUGAGGAAGGUGUUAAGGUUAAUAACCUUAGCAAUUGACGUUAGCGACAGAAGAAGCACCGGCUAACUCCGUGCCAGCAGCCGCGGUAAUACGGAGGGUGCGAGCGUUAAUCGGAAUUACUGGGCGUAAAGGGCACGCAGGCGGUUAAUUAAGUUGGAUGUGAAAUCCCCGGGCUUAACCUGGGAAUGGCAUUCAAGACUGGUUAGCUAGAGUCUUGUAGAGGGGGUAGAUUCCAUGUGUAGCGGUGAAAUGCGUAGAGAUGUGGAGGAUACCGGUGGCGAAGGCGGCCCCUGGACAAAGACUGACGCUCAUGUGCGAAAGCGUGGGGAGCAAACAGGGAUUAGAUACC
RNAcentral lists this ribosomal RNA (451 nucleotides) under uncultured bacterium. RNAcentral describes it as "bacterial SSU rRNA". It matches the Rfam family "Bacterial small subunit ribosomal RNA", at positions 340 to 786 of the family's 1533-position model. The record is from RNAcentral.